UGUGUGUGUGUGUAGGCAUAUGUGGUUUAUGAGACCAAUUUUCAGGUUUACAUACCAGCAUUACAAGACCAUUCGGUUUAUGAGACCAUUUUGUGUGGUCUCGUAAUUCUGGAAAUUUGAAUUGUUAUAAUUAAUGACUAAUAAUAAUUCUAAAAACUAUUAAUGCUUGUAUGUUUACUAUAUUAAUACUUUUAUUAAGUAUUGUCGCUAUUUUACUGUUAUGACACUCCCUACCUUUUUUAUGACGUUUAUAAACAUGGUCCUCUUAAACCAUGAUGUGUAUGUGUGAACUCGGAACAGUGCCCCUGUAGGUGGGAAUUGGUAUUGCGUGGUAUACACAUUGGCGCCAUAUUACACACAUAUUCGCGGCAAAUUACACACAUAUUCGCGCCAAGUGCCAUUGACGGAACAGUCAAGAAGAUUUGCAGCAGAACAAACGCAGCAGCUGGAUCUGUGGGGAAAAAAUGAUUCGGAGUCAUCGGAGAAGAGGACCAAAUCCUCUGAAAGAUGCAGAAAUCCAUGAACAAAAGGGCAAGGACAAAGACAACAUAACCAGAAAAUACAUUAAUCCCAUCAAAGCUCGUCCAUGAGCCUGUCGUUUCAGGAAGUGAAGUCACAUCUCCUAAAGAGCUUGUCCAUGAGCCUGUCGUUUCAGGAAGUGAAGUCACAUCUCCUAAAGAG
This is a non-coding RNA of Misgurnus anguillicaudatus (oriental weatherfish), 681 nucleotides long. The record is from RefSeq and is a predicted model, not a curated record. NCBI's taxonomy places the organism in Eukaryota, Metazoa, Chordata, Actinopteri, Cypriniformes, Cobitidae.